This 478-nucleotide ribosomal RNA is filed under the name uncultured bacterium. RNAcentral describes it as "partial 16S ribosomal RNA". It matches the Rfam family "Bacterial small subunit ribosomal RNA", at positions 28 to 523 of the family's 1533-position model. The record is from RNAcentral.
GACGAACGCUGGCGGCGCGCUUAACACAUGCAAGUCGAACGGUAAGGCCCUUCGGGGUACACGAGUGGCGAACGGGUGAGUAACACGUGGGUGAUCUGCCCUGCACUUCGGGAUAAGCCUGGGAAACUGGGUCUAAUACCGGAUAGGACCACUGCCUGCAUGGGUGGUGGUGGAAAGCUUUUGCGGUGUGGGAUGGGCCCGCGGCCUAUCAGCUUGUUGGUGGGGUGAUGGCCUACCAAGGCGACGACGGGUAGCCGGCCUGAGAGGGUGACCGGCCACACUGGGACUGCGAUACGGCCCAGGCUCCUACGGGAGGCAGCAGUGGGGAAUAUUGCACAGUGGGCGCAAGCCGGAUGCAGCGACGCCGCGUGAGGGAUGACGGCCUUCGGGUUGUAAACCUCUUUCAGCACCGACGAAGCGCAAGUGACGGUAGGUGCAGAAGAAGGACCGGCCAACUACGUGCCAGCCGCCGCCGUAA